GCAGAGUAGGGUCACGCGCGUAUAGUGUCCUGGGAUGGGAUGUCGCCCAGGAACGAAAGGUCUUUUCCGGCCUGCGGUGCGGUCCCGCGUCCGCUGC
RNAcentral lists this non-coding RNA (97 nucleotides) under human gut metagenome. Its description in RNAcentral is "THF riboswitch". It matches the Rfam family "THF (Tetrahydrofolate) riboswitch aptamer". From Rfam's summary of the family: THF riboswitch presents a pseudoknot that joins P1-P2 and the loop of P3 and two THF binding. The record is from RNAcentral.